RNAcentral lists this small RNA (162 nucleotides) under uncultured Blautia sp. RNAcentral describes it as "Clostridiales-1 RNA". It matches the Rfam family "Clostridiales-1 RNA". Lineage: Bacteria; Bacillati; Bacillota; Clostridia; Lachnospirales; Lachnospiraceae. The record is from RNAcentral.
AUGCCAGGGGCAAAAGGCCAUAAACCACGAUAUGCUUGCAUAGAAGUGGUUUUAUGCCUUUAUGACCCGCCCCGAGAUAAGCAUAAAAGUGGAGCGCAAGCUUCACGAUAUGCGAAUAUCGGGCAGAAUUGUGAAAGCACGAAGUGCGGAACAAUUCGUCUG